The sequence is a small RNA, 46 nucleotides long. It matches the Rfam family "Acido-Lenti-1 RNA". The record is from Rfam.
CCCAGGGCUGACGCCCUGGGCUAAUAUGACCCGCGUCGUUGGCGCG